GCCCGGGUGGUGAAAUUGGUAGACGCGCUAGGUUCAGGUCCUAGUGGACGCAAGUCUGUAGGGGUUCGAGUCCCCUCCCGGGCAC
Molecule: transfer RNA, 85 nt
Filed under: Spirochaetes bacterium ADurb.Bin133
Lineage: Bacteria; Pseudomonadati; Spirochaetota
Description: tRNA-Ser
Rfam family: tRNA
About the family: Transfer RNA (tRNA) molecules are approximately 80 nucleotides in length. Their secondary structure includes four short double-helical elements and three loops (D, anti-codon, and T loops). Further hydrogen bonds mediate the characteristic L-shaped molecular structure. tRNAs have two regions of fundamental functional importance: the anti-codon, which is responsible for specific mRNA codon recognition, and the 3' end, to which the tRNAs corresponding amino acid is attached (by aminoacyl-tRNA synthetases). tRNAs cope with the degeneracy of the genetic code in two manners: having more than one tRNA (with a specific anti-codon) for a particular amino acid; and 'wobble' base-pairing, i.e. permitting non-standard base-pairing at the 3rd anti-codon position.
Source: RNAcentral